GUUAGUAAAAUGUAGAUAAUUUUAAAUAAAGUUAAAGUUAAAAUAUGUGACUGUGUUAUAAAUAUGUGUUUGUUGUGUUUUUUUUAUAAAAUUUAAAACUAACUUAAAUUUUAGUUUGAAAGUCCAGUAGUUUUGUAGUUACUAACAAACACUUUAUGGUUUUAAAAACUUUGUUCCUGUUCCGGAAAUUAUUAGUAGAGAAGAUAUGAGGAGUGGAAUAGCAAAACCAGAUAAUUCACUUUUUUUUUUAAAAAAAAGAUAAUUUUUUUUUGCAUUAUUAAUAUUCCUAAAUCUUUACAAAUAAAAAUUGAAAUUUAAAAGCCACUAUCUUAAUAACAUUUUACCUCCCUUAAAUUAAUUAGUCCGUGCAAAACCAUUUAAAAAAAUUAUUUUCAAUGCAAAACAAGACAAAAAUUAUAUCUAAUCAACAUUCUGUUUUAAAAAAGUUUUAAAAAACUAGAAGACGCUAUUUAAAAAAAAAAUCACAUACAAAAAAACUCACUAAAAUUAAAAAAGCAAUAUUUAAACAGUUACAAACGAAUUUUAACUUCAUCAAUCCUUUAAAAGAAUCAAUAAUUUUUUUUAUAUAUUUUUAAAUGAUCUGAAUAAUUUUGUUGUUUUUAUUUAGUUGAAUGAUGAAAUUGUUUAUACAAAAGAUUGGCGUUUUAACUUUUAUUUUUAAGUUGUUAUUUACUUGUUAACUGUUGUCUGUCGUUAACAAAGCAAGUAAUAAAAUGCAUAUAAUGACAACAGCUUUAUCUUUAGAAUUGUUUGCAAACUUUUGGUUUGGAUACAAAAGACCAAGUGAAAAUGAUACUGGAAAGCUUAAUUCAAUUAAAAAAUCACGUCAUAGAAGACAGAAAAAUAUCAAUCUGUUUUCAAGAACUUGGCUUUCAUAACAAAUGUGAGAGACUGUUUACCGUUUGACUCCUGUCCGAAUCUAACCUAGUGGGUUCAAAAAGAAAGGACCGCGCUAGAAACAUGAGGGGGUUAAAAGGAUCAGCCCUUUUUGAAUUAAAAGUCGAAGUCGUAACCAGCUCGUAUGAAAGGAUUUCUCGACGUGAAAUAGUUAGCUUUAUUCAACAACGCCAAGAAACAGAGCUCGCUCAAGAAACAGAGGAGAAAGAGAAAAAUGAAGAAAUAUUCUGUUGAACAA
Molecule: long non-coding RNA, 1156 nt
Organism: Hydra vulgaris (swiftwater hydra)
Lineage: Eukaryota; Metazoa; Cnidaria; Hydrozoa; Anthoathecata; Hydridae
Source: RefSeq, a predicted model, not a curated record